Molecule: ribosomal RNA, 492 nt
Filed under: uncultured bacterium
Lineage: Bacteria
Description: partial 16S ribosomal RNA
Rfam family: Bacterial small subunit ribosomal RNA
Source: RNAcentral
AGUGAACGCUGGCGGUAGGCCUAACACAUGCAAGUCGAACGGCAGCACAGUAAGAGCUUGCUCUUACGGGUGGCGAGUGGCGGACGGGUGAGGAAUACAUCGGAAUCUACUUUUUCGUGGGGGAUAACGUAGGGAAACUUACACUAAUACCGCAUACGACCUACGGGUGAAAGCAGGGGAUCUUCGGACCUUGCGCGAAUGAAUGAGCCGAUUUCGGAUUAGCUAGUUGGCGGGGUAAAGGCCCACCAAGGCGACGAUCCGUAGCUGGUCUGAGAGGAUGAUCGGCCACACUGGAACUGAGACACGGUCCAGACUCCUACGGGAGGCAGCAGUGGGGAAUAUUGGACAAUGGGCGCAAGCCUGAUCCAGCCAUACCGCGUGGGUGAAGAAGGCCUUCGGGUUGUAAAGCCCUUUUGUUGGGAAAGAAAAGCAGCAGGUUAAUACCCCGCUGUUCUGACGGUACCCAAAGAAUAAGCACCGGCUAACUUCGUG